Molecule: ribosomal RNA, 390 nt
Filed under: uncultured eukaryote
Lineage: Eukaryota
Description: SSU rRNA
Rfam family: Eukaryotic small subunit ribosomal RNA
Source: RNAcentral
AGCUCCAGUAGCGUAUAUUAAAGUUGUUGCAGUUAAAAAGCUCGUAGUUGGAUUUCUGGUCAGACAUGCCUGGCCCGCCGGGGUCACCCGUGUGAGUGCCGGUGCGCGUCUACCAUCCUUCUGGAAAACGGCCUUACCCUUCACUGGGCCGAGGUCGCGAUCCAGAUCUUUUACUUUGAAAAAAUUAGAGUGUUUAAAGCAGGCUUACGCUGUGAAUACAUUAGCAUGGAAUAAUAAUUUAGGACUUUGGUCUCUAUUUUGUUGGUUUCUAGAGCUGAAGUAAUGAUUGAUAGGGAUAGUUGGGGGUGCUAGUAUUCAGCGGCCAGAGGUGAAAUUCUUGGAUUCGCUGAAGACUAACUUAUGCGAAAGCAUUCACCAAGGAUGUCUUCU